RNAcentral lists this ribosomal RNA (253 nucleotides) under uncultured bacterium. RNAcentral's name for it is "partial 16S ribosomal RNA". It matches the Rfam family "Bacterial small subunit ribosomal RNA", at positions 524 to 776 of the family's 1533-position model. The record is from RNAcentral.
UACAGAGGGGGCAAGCGUUAUUCGGAAUUAUUGGGCGUAAAGGGCGCGUAGGCGGCUUUUCAAGUGACGGGUGAAAUCCCUCGGCUUAACCGAGGAACUGCCUGUCAGACUGGAAGGCUUGAGACCGGGAGAGGUGAGUGGAAUUCCCAGUGUAGCGGUGAAAUGCGUAGAUAUCUGGAGGAAUACCGGUGGCGAAGGCGGCAUCCUGGACCGGCAUUGACGCUGAGGAGCGAAAGCCAGGGGAGCAAACGGG